RNAcentral lists this ribosomal RNA (440 nucleotides) under uncultured bacterium. RNAcentral's name for it is "partial 16S ribosomal RNA". It matches the Rfam family "Bacterial small subunit ribosomal RNA", at positions 338 to 795 of the family's 1533-position model. The record is from RNAcentral.
CCUACGGGUGGCAGCAGUGGGGAAUAUUGCACAAUGGGGGAAACCCUGAUGCAGCGACGCCGCGGGAGUGAAGAAGUAAUUCGUUAUGUAAAGCUCUAUCAGCAGGGAAGAAAAUGACGGUACGUGAGUAAGAAGCCCCGGCUAACUACGUGCCAGCAGCCGCGGUAAUACGUAGGGGGCAAGCGUUAUCCGGAUUUACUGGGUGGAAAGGGGGCGUAGACGGCAGUGCAAGUCUGGAGUGAAAGGCGGGGGCUCAACCCCCGGACUGCUCUGGAAACUGUACGGCGGGAGUGCAGGAGAGGUAAGUGGAAUUCCUAGUGUAGCGGUGAAAUGCGUAGAUAUUAGGAAGAACACCAGUGGCGAAGGCGGCUUACUGGACUGUAACUGACGUUGAGGCUCGAAAGCGUGGGGAGCGAACAGGAUUAGAUACCCCUGUAGUC